AAAGCCCACCGUUGGGGAUGCUC
This 23-nucleotide non-coding RNA is filed under the name Arabidopsis thaliana (thale cress). The record is from RNAcentral. Lineage: Eukaryota; Viridiplantae; Streptophyta; Magnoliopsida; Brassicales; Brassicaceae.